Mesocricetus auratus (golden hamster) is the source of this 1024-nucleotide long non-coding RNA. RefSeq lists it as uncharacterized. The record is from RefSeq and is a predicted model, not a curated record. The transcript has 2 exons. Lineage: Eukaryota; Metazoa; Chordata; Mammalia; Rodentia; Cricetidae.
UUGAGCGCGAGGGCAGGGGGUUGGGUGACGGAAGGGGAACCGGACUUGGAGGAGAGGCACCCAGGGUCUGACCGGUCAAACGCUGCUGGACCCGGAACCCCAAGGUGGAGUUUCAGAUCUGAUCCCACCAGGGGCUCUUUUUAAGGGCGUCUACACCGCAGGGUCCAGGAGGAGCAGCGGUCGGGAGGACUUGAGGGGGCACAGAUUUAUUGCCCGCGUCCAAAGUGGUGCUUUUGAUCCGAAAUGAAUAGAUUCUUUCUGGUGGGACUGCUCGGCAUCAGGGGCCGAAAGGAAUCGACUCAGGAAUCUAGAGAGACUCUGCCCCCUGGAAGAAACGUCUACACACCCCCCUUACUACACUAGCCGAACUCCCUAAAAACCUAGGUAGGGAAAGAGAAUUCUCCCGGGUUCACAUCUGUUCCCUAAACUAGAGUGCAAAGAAGGGAGCCUUCUGAACUGCGGGACACGUCUGUGCAGGAAAGACGUGUGCCCGCGAGCGAGCGGCCUGUACAUUCAACGAGUGCGGAGCGCCGCCCAGGUCCAGAGACGGUGGCAAAGCCAAGACUGGGGACUGCCGAGGAGUCGGAGUCUCAGAGACAGUGAGACAAGGCUCUUAGUAACGCUGGUGCACAGACCACCGGGGAGCGAGCUCAAAAUGUGCAGGAAUGCGUGCCUGUGCGCGCGGGACAUCCCGGGAACCGGGAGAGGAGGAAGCCCCUGCAGGCACACGGUCCCUAGGACGGGCGGUCAGAUGCCGGCUGCAGAAUCUGGGGAGUGGAAGCGACCCGAAGCCGCCAGGAGCUUUACACCCAACUUUUGUCGCCGAGGACAGAGCCUGGCUCUUGCCCGGAGAUCUGCAGAGCAGUCCUUUGGUGGGGGCCAGCGAGGAUAGCUGAGGAGGAGGAGGAGGAACACACCGUGAGGGUGGGACCCAGGACCCUCAAGCUGCAGGAAAAGAAGUGAGGGCUGGGGAAGAGUUCUGAGCGUUUUGACAGAGAUGAAUAAAAUGCAAAUGAUAUUCAAA